This 4979-nucleotide long non-coding RNA is filed under the name Gossypium barbadense (sea-island cotton). RNAcentral's name for it is "long non-coding RNA (GBAR_LNC002129)". The record is from RNAcentral. Lineage: Eukaryota; Viridiplantae; Streptophyta; Magnoliopsida; Malvales; Malvaceae.
AAAACACAAUUUUGAAUAAAAAUUAUAGAUUCUUCUAAGAUUUGUUAAGUCAUAUAAUCAUAAUAAAUUCAUGAUUUUUAGUAAUAUAAUAUAUAUAUAUUUGAAUAAAUACUGGAUCUUUAUUAUCCCGGGCCCGAAAAAACAAAACAAAUAAAACAAGCCCAAACAAAUCAAAAGAGUCCAAAACCAACCUAAAAGAAGCAAAAACAAAACAAACACCACUGCCUGGGAAAGCAGCAAAACAGAAAUAUCAAAUAUCCUUUCCAUCCAUCAGCAAAAUUCAGAAAUCACCUACUCCCUAGAAACAACUUUCCCUCUUGAAAUUCCAAACGUUACUCUUCACUAAAAACUCCUCCCAUUUCUCCCUCAGUAAUCCGACUCCUUCUCUCCCUCAGAUGUUCCGUCCACUGUCGCUCUUCAUCCACCAUAGUCCUAAUCCCAGGAGGAACCCCAUACAUCAGAUAAGUAGAGACUCCCUUUUUAAUUCCUUCGGUAGCUAUGGUGUGAGCCACUUUGUUGGAUUAUUUGUUGAUAAAAUGAAAAGCACAAUAGUUGAAGCUUAAACUCCUGUGCUUAGAGUCUUUGAUAAAUGCUGCGAUUUCAGAUCUGUCCUCUUUUUCCUCAUGCAGUUUACGAAUCACCGUCCUAGAGUCUCCCUCAACUUCCACUUCACUCAGCCCUAGAUGAAUGCCCAGUUCAAGAGCCUGGAGGCACGCCAUCGCUUCAGCCGACGGUAUGUCCGCAUUUAAAAUUGUACCUGAGCACUUCCGCCUUUUCAUUUCUGACUACUAAUCUUGAGCAUGAUUCUUUUCAGUUUCUGUUGAAAGCAGCAUCAAAGUUUAUUUUGACUCGUGAUCCAACCGGAGCUUCCCAUCUGACCAAGUGGAGCCUUCUUUUAGGUACGAAAUGAUUCAAAUCAUCUAACUCCUUUAGAUAGUUUAAAACAAAAUCUGCUACCUGAGACCCCGAUCUAGAUUCCCCUUCAUGUAGAAACCUAUUUCUGUUGGCCCAAAUCGCCCAUAAUGCGCAAGUAAUCAUCCUACACUUGGAAAUAGAAUGAGAUCCAAACAUUGUUAUUAGCACUUCUAGAAAGUCAUAAUUUGCAACAGAACUAGGCCAAAAAAUAUUUAAUUUCUCCCAUAUUUCCUUUGCAACAGGGCAGUCUCUGAACAAGUGCUCUCUCGUUUCCGCUCCCGUAUGGCAUCUUCUGCAAGUGGCAAACCCUAUCAACCGUCUAUAGUGUAGAUUACUAUAGUUAGGCAGAUAGUUACGAGAGCAUCGCCAAAUUGUAAUUUUAAUUUUAGAGGGCAGCUCUAGAUUCCAUAGGCGCUUGUAAAGUUGUUUGUAAUUAAUCUGUAAUUGAUUCUGACCUUCAUGUAAAAGAUACUUGUAUCCACUUCGAACCGAGUACUCACCAGUCGGCUCUCCUCUCCAAACAGUUUGAUCCUUAUGCGAAUUCAAGGACAAGGGAAUACACAAAAUACUCUCAGCCUCCUUCUCCGUAAAGGUACUAGUAUCAAUCAGUUCUGCAACCUUUAUCAACCCUGAGUUAGGAUUUAAAUUCUGAAUUCUGGCUUCCUCUAAUCUAGGGACCCAAGUGUCUUCCCAAAUGGAUACUUGCUGCCCAUCACCAAUCUGCCAACCCAAUCCUUUUUGAAGGAGUCCCUUGGCACCCCAUAUACUCAACUAGGUAAAAGAAGGUAAAUUGUCCAACCUAGAGUUUAAAAAAUCAGAAUCUUUAUAAUAUUUCGCCUUCAAAGUACGCGCUAGUAACGAAUUAGGAUUACAUAAUAAACGCCAUCCAUGUUUGGCCAAUAAUGUAAUAUUAAAAAGGCUCAAAUUACGGAAACCCAUACCCCCAUCCUCCUUAAUCGCACUUAAAGCCUUCCAAUCACACAAAUGCAUACCUUUCUUUCCAUGCCCUUUUUGCUACCAAAAGGAACUCAUUAUGUUUUCCAGCUCCUAAAAUAAGGAUUUUGGCUAAAGAAAACAUGCCAUCGAAUAAGUGGGAAUUCCUUGCAAAACAGCUUUUAUAAAAACCUCUCUACUCCUUGGGAAAUAACCUUUACACUCUAGCUGUUUAUCUUCAGUUUCAGCCUAUCUUUCAUAUUUUGAAAAGCUCUCUUCUUUUUUCUUCCCACCCUAUUUGGAAGUCCCAAGUACUUCUCCAUAUCUGUCUACCAACGAACAUUCAGCUCUUGGAACACCAAAUUUUUCUCCCGAUCAGACACAUUCGUACUGAAGAAAACUAUGGAUUUUUCAAAAUUGACACACUGCCCCAAACAAGCCUCAUAUUCCGAUAAAAUUUCUUUGAGCGCUUCUAUCCCCCUACUUGAAACCUCACCAAACAGAAUGUAAUCGUCUACAAACAUAAGGUGGGUAAUUGUUGGAGAAGAUCUACACACCUUAGCCCCACAAAUCUUUCUUUCCUGACUUGCCAAUCUCAUUAACGCCGACAAUCCUUCUCCAAUAAAAACAAAUGAGGGCUUAAUGGAUCACCUUGGCGCAAUCUCCUAGUUGCCUUGAAACUUAAUCCCUCCUCUCCAUUAAUUAAAAUAGAGAAUUGAACGAAAUUUAAGCAGUGAAGAAUGACAUCAAUAAACAUAUCUGCAAAUCUCAUUUUUGACAUCACGCCUCUUAUAAAUGCCCAUUCUACUCUAUCAUAGGCCUUACGCAUAUCAAAUUUCAAAGCCAUGAAAUCUUUUUUGUCAGUUCUUUUGUUUUUGAAAGAAUGAAGUACCUCAUAUGCCAGCAAUACAUUUUCCGUAAUAAGUCUCCCAGGAAUGAAUGCACUUUGGGUUGCAUCAAUACAAUCGUCCAGCACACCCUUUAGCCGAUUGGCCACUGUCUUAGCGAUAAUCUUAUAAAUCACCGUACACAGGUUGAUGGGACGAAAAAUUUUCAGAUUCAUAGGAUUAACAGUUUUUGGAAUCAGCACAAUUUGGGUUCUAUUAAUUUCUUCCAACGAUUUUCCAUGAUUCAAGAUAUUCAAACAAAACUCACUAGUAUUUUUACCAAUAAUAUCCCAAUACUUUUGGUAAAAGACUAGUGAGAAACCGUCAGGCCCAGAAGCUUUUGUAGGCCCCAUCCCUUUCAGCGCCCCCACAAUUUCUUCCUUUGUGUAAGGAGCCAUCAGUCGUUGAUUCAUACCGUCAGAAAUACACGUUUGAACUCUAGAUAGGAUAUGCUCCAAAUUUCCAACCCCUUUAGAUUCAAAUAAAUCCAAAAAAUAGGCACGUGCAAUAUUCUCCAUAUCCUUCCCACCCGUAGCAAGAGAACCAUCACCUCUUUGUAAUUCACGAAUUCGAUUGUUACGCCGUCUCUAUGACGCAUAUCUAUGAAAAAAGAAGGUAUUUUUAUCCCCCAUCUUCAAUCAGUUAACUCUUGCUCGUUGCUCCCAGUACCGUUCCUCCUUGUCUAUCUCCAUGUUCAAAUGUAACUUGACCUCCACCAGUUCCGCCAAAUUCCCCUCCGAUCUAUCAUCAUGAUUUAGUUCCUCAAGUCUUCUAUUAAAUCUUUCCACUUCCUUUCCUCUGUUUAACUUUAUCUUUCUAGCCCAUUCCAUCAAUCCCGUGGAUAGAAUUGACACGCGGCUAAGGAAGGAACCUGAACUCCCAAUCCAUAGCUUCCGAAUCACUUCUUCACACGAUUCCUUUAGUAAUAUAAUAUUAAGCAUAAAAUAUUUAUAUAAAUGUUGAUAUAUUAAUAAUUAUUUUAUUGGUAUAUUCACUGUGCUUUUUUUUUUCUUUUACUACCUAGUAAAAACUUUCUAUACUGAGAAAGAGAUAAAUAUCUCUUUUCCAAAAGAUAAAGGUCUGCCCAUAUAACCAGACAUCAAAAUUUAGAAUUAUAAAUGUCUACCAUUCAUUAAAAAGGCUUUAUUCCACCAUCCAAAUUCACAAAUUUUAGUGAAGAAAAAACAACAAAAAAGUUUAGCGAAGAAAAUAUUCCCUUUUUAUCCGAUUCAAGGUCUUCACCGUCAUUAGCAAGGGUUAAACUUUUUUAUCACGAGAGUUCUCUGAAAAGAUAAAUAGUUAGUCACGUAAUGUGCUACAUUCUUAUAAGUAGGGAUCAAAUCUCUGACCACAUAAGUAAUGGACUAGAUGAGUUACUACCACACGACUUUGCCACACCUUAUAGUUAAAAAAUAAAAUUAUUCAAUAUACUAUAAUAAUAUAUAAAAAUGUUUUUUAAUAAUAUGUAAAAAUAUAAGGUAUAAUAACUUAUUUGACCUUCUAACUUUACAAAAAAAAUAUUUUUAGUGCUCUAUAUAUAUUUUUUAACAUUUUUUAACCAUUGAACUUGCAUUUUUGUCAAAUCAGCUCAAACUAAAUGGAAAAGACAAUUUUUUUUAAGACUUUGUUGGCAUUGCAUACAUGUGGAUUAUCAUAUAAAUGAUAUAAAAUCUAUUUUCAAAAAUUAAAAAUCAUUAAAACUAUUAAAAAAUAGUUUUUUUUAAAUUAAAAAAAUUAAUUAAAUAUUGAUAUAUCAUCUACCUAAUAAUUACAUGUAUACCAUGUAAACAAAGUUAAGUUAAUGUUUUCGUUCAUUUUGAAAUAAUUUGAUAAAAAUAAAAAUUUAAAGGCUAAAUAGACGAAACUUCAGGAGAGUUAUAAAAGUUAACAUGACAUUGAAGCACCUAUUGCAAAAGACGGACAAAUGAACAAGAAUUUAGCACAAGAGCAAUAGCAACAGAAAACAAGACAAAACUAACAAGACAUGACGGUUUUUUUUACUUUUACUUUUAGUCUCUACAUCAAAAACCAAAGGUUUCAGAUUCAGUCCCCUAACUUUAACAUUUUCUUUUUCAUGUAUCAUUUCUCAAGCAACAGUGACGAUGUUAGUGCCAUCUCUGUUGCUGAAGCUUGGUAGCACCUGAAAAGCAGAAUGCCUCGAUGAUGAUGAGGGAUCCCCUUGAUCAGAUUGUAAAGACAACUUUAAAUUCAACGGCGGACCCUCGGUGACUGCAUUCAAGUUCA